CCGCGUAAACUUUACAAUGCUGGCAACAGCGAUAAGGGAAGCUCGAGUGCCAGGUUACAAAUCUGGCUGUCGAGAUGCCUAAAAAGCAUUUCAUAGCAAGGGCCGGGCAAGACCGGUGCCAGCCGCCGCGGUAACACCGGCGGCUCGAGUGGUAACCGUUAUUAUUGGGUCUAAAGGAUCUGUAGCCGGCCGGAUAAGUCUCUUGAGAAAUCUGGCAGCUUAACUGUCAGGCUUUCAGGAGAUACUGUCUGGCUCGAGGCCGGGAGAGGUGAGAGGUACUUCAGGGGUAGGGGUGAAAUCUUGUAAUCCUUGAAGGACCACCAGUGGCGAAGGCGUCUCACCAGAACGGACCUGACGGCAAGGGACGAAAGCUAGGGGCACGAACCG
Molecule: ribosomal RNA, 387 nt
Filed under: uncultured bacterium
Lineage: Bacteria
Description: bacterial SSU rRNA
Rfam family: Archaeal small subunit ribosomal RNA
Source: RNAcentral